AAGACUGCUUCCAAAAACCCCAUGCCUUACACAAGAAGAAUAUAAAAAGUUCUCUUUUUCGAUGUUUCUCUUCCAAAAAAAAAAAAGAAAGAAAAAGAAAAAAAAAAAAAACCCAAAUGCAUUUGGGUGUGCUGCCUCUGAAAACUGCAUUUCCUCUCGGCUAUUCUGAGUUUGGAGUCAUCAUCAACCUCAAUAUGUAUAGAACACGCCUUUCUUGCAAAAAACUCUCAUCCACAUCCCAAGUUUUCGCCCCUGAACAAAACCCAGGUUAUGAAAUUCGGGAUAAUGCUUCUGCGUCGGAUGUUCGUGUUUCUGUUAGGAAAAAGAGAGUCAAAAAGUCUUUGGAAGUGGUCCAACCAGAGCCAAAAAUGGAGUCUAACUGCAACAAAUUAUCUGACUUGCCAGAUAUAGAAGAUUUGCAUACAAACAGGCAAAUGG
This is a non-coding RNA of Carica papaya (papaya), 438 nucleotides long. The record is from RefSeq and is a predicted model, not a curated record. Lineage: Eukaryota; Viridiplantae; Streptophyta; Magnoliopsida; Brassicales; Caricaceae.